Transfer RNA from Macrophomina phaseolina MS6, 73 nucleotides. It matches the Rfam family "tRNA". Rfam says of the family: Transfer RNA (tRNA) molecules are approximately 80 nucleotides in length. The record is from Rfam. NCBI's taxonomy places the organism in Eukaryota, Fungi, Ascomycota, Dothideomycetes, Botryosphaeriales, Botryosphaeriaceae.
GCCCGGCUAGCUCAAUCGGUAGAGCGUGAGACUCUUAAUCUCAAGGCUGCGGGUUCGACCCCCGCGUUGGGCU